Molecule: long non-coding RNA, 352 nt
Filed under: Homo sapiens (human)
Lineage: Eukaryota; Metazoa; Chordata; Mammalia; Primates; Hominidae
Description: non-protein coding lnc-ARL15-3:1
Source: RNAcentral
CACCUCCUAGUACCAUCACACUAGGAUUCGGGUUUUAUCAUACUAAUUUUAUGGGGACGCAUUCAGUCCAUUGCAGCCAUCAAGAUUCCUGGCCCCUGGUAAACACAGGCCUUCUCUCAGUUAUUCAGUCAAACACUAAUCCAGGUGCUGCUGUGAAGGGAUUUUGCAGAUGUCACUAAAUUCCCAAAUCAGUCAACUUUAAAACAGGGAGAUUAUCCAGCCUGGCCAAAUCUAGACGGAAACCAGCUCCCAUGGGGGUAUGGGAGAUGAUGUCUCCAGGGCUCACCCUUCCAGGGCAUGGAGGAGGAGAGAGAAGGAUGGAGAACGGAUGGGGAGUGGAAGUGCAAAAAAU